AAUUAUUGUAUCAUUUAGGGGGGA
RNAcentral lists this microRNA (24 nucleotides) under Vriesea carinata. Its description in RNAcentral is "vca-miR10205-3p". The record is from miRBase by way of RNAcentral. Lineage: Eukaryota; Viridiplantae; Streptophyta; Magnoliopsida; Poales; Bromeliaceae.